Molecule: ribosomal RNA, 497 nt
Filed under: uncultured bacterium
Lineage: Bacteria
Description: partial 16S ribosomal RNA
Rfam family: Bacterial small subunit ribosomal RNA
Source: RNAcentral
GAUGAACGCUGGCGGCGUGCCUAAUACAUGCAAGUCGAGCGAACAGACGAGGAGCUUGCUCCUCUGACGUUAGCGGCGGACGGGUGAGUAACACGUGGAUAACCUACCUAUAAGACUGGGAUAACUUCGGGAAACCGGCGCUAAUACCGGAUAAUAUAUUGAACCGCAUGGUUCAAUAGUGAAAGACGGUUUUGCUGUCACUUAUAGCUGGAUCCGCGCCGCAUUAGCUAGUUGGUAAGGUAACGGCUUACCAAGGCAACGAUGCGUAGCCGACCUGAGAGAGUGAUCGGCCACACUGGAACGGAGACACGGUCCAGACGCCUACGGGAGGCAGCAGUAGGGAAUCUUCCGCAAUGGGCGAAAGCUUGACGGAGCAACGCCGCGUGAGUGAUGAAGGUCUUCGGAUCGUAAAACUCUGUUAUUAGGGAAGAACAAAUGUGUAAGUAACUAUGCACGUCUUGACGGUACCUAAUCAGAAAGCCACGGCUAACUACGUG